UACGUAGGUCCCGAGCGUUGUCCGGAUUUAUUGGGCGUGAAGCGAGCGCAGGUGGUUUAUUAAGUCUGGUGUAAAAGGCAGUGGCUCAACCAUUGUAUGCAUUGGAAACUUGUAGACUUGAGUGCAGGAGAGGAGAGUGGAAUUCCAUGUGUAGCGGUGAAAUGCGUAGAUAUAUGGAGGAACACCGGUGGCGAAAGCGGCUCUCUGGCCUGUAACUGACACUGAGGCUCGAAAGCGUGGGGAGCAAACAGG
RNAcentral lists this ribosomal RNA (252 nucleotides) under uncultured bacterium. RNAcentral's name for it is "partial 16S ribosomal RNA". It matches the Rfam family "Bacterial small subunit ribosomal RNA", at positions 524 to 776 of the family's 1533-position model. The record is from RNAcentral.